This 775-nucleotide ribosomal RNA is filed under the name uncultured Neocallimastigales. RNAcentral's name for it is "partial large subunit ribosomal RNA". It matches the Rfam family "Eukaryotic large subunit ribosomal RNA", at positions 23 to 629 of the family's 3401-position model. The record is from RNAcentral. Lineage: Eukaryota; Fungi; Neocallimastigomycota; Neocallimastigomycetes; Neocallimastigales.
AGAGAGAGACAUGCGCGCAUAUCAAUAAGCGGAGGAAAAGAAACUAACUAGGAUUCCCUCAGUAACGGCGAGUGAAGCGGGAAGAGCUCAAAUUUGAAGUCUUCAAGGUUCUACCUUGACGAAUUGUAGUUUAAAGAAGUGUUUUCUGUUGGAGUUUUGGUAAAAGUUCUUUGGAAUAGGGACAUCAUAGAGGGUGAGAAUCCCGUAUUUGACCAUUAUUUCCAGCUUUGUGAUACACUUUCAAAGAGUCGGAUUGUUUGGGAAUGCAGUCCAAAAUGGGUGGUAAAUUUCAUCUAAAGCUAAAUAUUGGCGAGAGACCGAUAGCGAACAAGUACCGUGAGGGAAGGAUGAAAAGAACUUUGAAAAGAGAGUUAAACAGUACGUGAAAUUGUCAAAAGGGAAGCGUUUGACACCAGUGUUGUUUUCUCGAAAAUCAAUUAAAAAGAGUUAGAUUUUGUUGUGUAUUGACCUUAACAGCUUGCAUUUCAAUUUUCUUGCUUUUUUUAAUGCACUUUUCGUUUAACAAGUCAACAUCAGUUUCUUUUGUUGUAAAAAGGUCAUUGGAAGGUGGCUUUCUUUUCGGAGAAAGUGUUUAUAGCCUUUGACUCCUGCAAUCGGAGAGACUGAGGUCUGCAGCGUAGAUCCUUCGGGGUUAGAUACAUUUGUGCUAAGUUAUAGCUUUUUAUAGACAACUUGUUGACUAUGAUUAGUCUUGUAGCUUACUCGCUUAUGCUAUUUUACCUACGCUUAGGAUGUUGAUGUGAUACUGCGAGCA